UAGGUAAAUAGUUUAAGCUGAGAAUUUACGCCUUGGGAGUGUAAGGUCUACCCUUUUAAGGUAGUUUAUCUG
This 72-nucleotide transfer RNA is filed under the name Anadara cornea. RNAcentral's name for it is "tRNA-Pro". Lineage: Eukaryota; Metazoa; Mollusca; Bivalvia; Arcoida; Arcidae. The record is from RNAcentral.